RNAcentral lists this ribosomal RNA (439 nucleotides) under uncultured bacterium. RNAcentral describes it as "bacterial SSU rRNA". It matches the Rfam family "Bacterial small subunit ribosomal RNA", at positions 339 to 794 of the family's 1533-position model. The record is from RNAcentral.
GUACGGGAGGCAGCAGUAAGGGAUAUUGCGCAAUGGGCGAAAGCCUGACGCAGCAACGCCGCGUGGAGGAUGACGGCCUUCGGGUUGUAAACUCCUUUUGAGGCUGACGAGGAAGGACGGUAAGCCUCGAAGAAGUCACGGCUAACUACGUGCCAGCAGCCGCGGUAAAACGUAGGUGGCGAGCGUUAUCCGGAUUUACUGGGCGUAAAGCGUGUGCAGGCGGACUGUCAAGUGGUGCAUGAAAUCGCUCGGCUUAACCGGGCGCGGGUGUGCCAGACUGAUGGUCUGGAGUGCGGGAGAGGGGCGUGGAAUUCCGGGUGUAGUGGUGAAAUGCGUAGAGAUCCGGAGGAACCCCAGAGGCGAAGGCGGCGCCCUGGCCCGACACUGACGCUCAGACACGACAGCAUGGGGAGCGAACGGGAUUAGAUACCCUGGUAGG